This 478-nucleotide long non-coding RNA is filed under the name Anser brachyrhynchus (Pink-footed goose). RNAcentral's name for it is "lncRNA (ENSABRG00000009552.1)". The record is from RNAcentral. Lineage: Eukaryota; Metazoa; Chordata; Aves; Anseriformes; Anatidae.
UAUAUACCUUAGUGGACCAUCUUUCUCCAAAGAUGUGGUACCAGGAAGGAAGAAUUGCUGAUCUACGGUACAUUUGAAUGCGUGGUGUUUUUAUUGGAACUCUUAUGGAUUCAGCUUCCUAGCACCAUAAGGGGGCUUGAUUGAUUUUUAUGCUAAUCCUAAAUGAAAGACAGCUGUUGUACCCACUGGCUUCAAUAAAGCUAAUCCAACUCAUAAAAGUCUUGUAAAUAGCCAGAUAAUUACGUUGCUGUUCAGAAGGAUUUCCUUUUGCAAGGUGCUGGUAGCCCUGCAGUGCUCGCAGCCCGGGGCACUGCUGUGCCGGGCGGCCGUGCCGUGAUGUGGCCGGGGUGAAGACCAGAUGUUGACUGAGCCUGGGACACUGGGUACAUUGCUGCACCAGCAGAAUAAUGCCCUGAGAUUUCUUCAAAGCCAGCUUUCUUGGAGUCAAGAGGAAUGGUCUAUGACCAGGUAAAAUCCU